AUUGAACGCUGGCGGCAUGCCUUACACAUGCAAGUCGAACGGCAGCACGGGUGCUUGCACCUGGUGGCGAGUGGCGAACGGGUGAGUAAUACAUCGGAACGUACCUUAUCGUGGGGGAUAACGCAGCGAAAGCUGUGCUAAUACCGCAUACGCCCUGAGGGGGAAAGCGGGGGAUCGCAAGACCUCGCGCGAUUAGAGCGGCCGAUGCCUGAUUAGCUUGUUGGUGGGGUAAAAGCCCACCAAGGCGACGAUCAGUAGCUGGUCUGAGAGGACGAUCAGCCACACUGGGACUGAGACACGGCCCAGACUCCUACGGGAGGCAGCAGUGGGGAAUUUUGGACAAUGGGGGCAACCCCGAUCCAGCAAUGCCGCAUGAGUGAAGAAGGCCUUCGGGUUGUAAAGCUCUUUUGUCAGGGAAGAAACACCGGCUCUAACACAGUCUGGGAAUGACGGUACCUGAAGAGUAAGCACCGGCUAACUACGUGCCAGCAGCCGCCGUAA
This 501-nucleotide ribosomal RNA is filed under the name uncultured bacterium. RNAcentral describes it as "partial 16S ribosomal RNA". It matches the Rfam family "Bacterial small subunit ribosomal RNA", at positions 29 to 523 of the family's 1533-position model. The record is from RNAcentral.